CAGUAGCCGCGGGAAUACGAAGGGUGCAAGCGUUACUCGGAAUUACUGGGCGUAAAGUGUGCGUAGGUGGUGGUUUAAGUCCGUUGUGAAAGCCCUGGGCUCAACCUGGGAAUUGCAGUGGAUACUGGGUCACUAGAGUGUGGUAGAGGAUAGUGGAAUUUCCGGUGUAGCAGUGAAAUGCGUAGAGAUCGGAAGGAACAUCUGUGGCGAAGGCGACUAUCUGGGCCAACACUGACACUGAGGCACGAAAGCGUGGGGAGCAAACAGGAUUAGAUACCCGUGUAGUCCCUGUCUCUUAUAC
This 301-nucleotide ribosomal RNA is filed under the name uncultured bacterium. RNAcentral describes it as "partial 16S ribosomal RNA". It matches the Rfam family "Bacterial small subunit ribosomal RNA", at positions 509 to 807 of the family's 1533-position model. The record is from RNAcentral.